Long non-coding RNA from Cyprinus carpio (common carp), 530 nucleotides. RefSeq lists it as uncharacterized. The transcript is spliced from 4 exons. The record is from RefSeq and is a predicted model, not a curated record. NCBI's taxonomy places the organism in Eukaryota, Metazoa, Chordata, Actinopteri, Cypriniformes, Cyprinidae.
AUGUGCGGUUUAACUCCAACCAUGGGUUCCCUGUGGAACUGGAACAGGGUGCGAGUGUAACUGAGCUGAAAGAGACGGUGGGACGUUUACAGGGAGUACAGCCUGAUCAACUGCGGGUCAUCUUUGCUGGACGAGAGCUCUGCAAUGAAUCCACACUUCAGGAGUUCUACCUGAAAUGUGGUGCCCACCCCACCUGUGAUAAUGACACUUCAGCAGCACUGGACUUGAUAAUGCCCAACACACACAGAGUGCCCUGCAUCGCCUGCACUGAUGUCAUUGUCCUCCACUCCACUCUUCUUCCUCCUCAGAGAUCUCCUCCGUUUGUGUAAAAGGGCGCUGACAAGAAUGUGGCCAGUCUCUUACAAUAGAACCGGGAGAGAGGGGUCAGAGAGGUGGAACACUGUGUUAGACUUGGUGCUGGAGUUUCAGUGUGAUCUGCCUGGAGUGCUUCCACCUGUACUGUGUGACCAGACUCAAUGAGCGACAGUUUACCCAGGACCCGCUGGUGGGCUACUCUCUGCCAUAAGAUG